GGGGGGUUCGGCACGGGCACGCCAAGCCGCCUUGAACGCGGUGGGUCCCGAGGGGACCUGGGGGUUCGACUCCCUCACCCUCCG
This 84-nucleotide transfer RNA is filed under the name Myxococcales bacterium. Its description in RNAcentral is "tRNA-Ser". The record is from RNAcentral. Lineage: Bacteria; Pseudomonadati; Myxococcota; Myxococcia; Myxococcales.